AAAAAAAUUAAAAAAAGAAAAACAAAUGUACAAGUUGCAAGUUCUAUGCCACAACAAAGCAUUAUUAACAGCAAGGCCACCAUUUCACAAUCAUCCUGCAUUAUCACAUCUCAGAUUGAGCAUGCCUUUAUUACAUGUCAGAUUGAGUAUAGCUUACAUAUAUGUAGUUAAUAGAGUUGAUGAUAUAUUUGCUUUUAGAUUAAUUUCUCCUGCAUUACAUUAUUGGAUAUUUUCUUAUGUUGGAG
This 245-nucleotide unclassified non-coding RNA is filed under the name Hevea brasiliensis (rubber tree). Lineage: Eukaryota; Viridiplantae; Streptophyta; Magnoliopsida; Malpighiales; Euphorbiaceae. The record is from RNAcentral.